UCUUAGAUGACUGAGGAUAGAUAAGUGCUAGAUUUUUAAUCUAGAGACGGUAGGAAUUACCUCUAAGAA
Molecule: transfer RNA, 69 nt
Filed under: Fusiturris similis
Lineage: Eukaryota; Metazoa; Mollusca; Gastropoda; Neogastropoda; Turridae
Description: tRNA-Lys
Source: RNAcentral